This 504-nucleotide long non-coding RNA is filed under the name Nicotiana benthamiana. RNAcentral describes it as "long non-coding RNA (NBEN_LNC035406)". The record is from RNAcentral. Lineage: Eukaryota; Viridiplantae; Streptophyta; Magnoliopsida; Solanales; Solanaceae.
GGGCGUAUAAAGACCACUAAAGCGAGGGCCAGGGCAGUUAGAAAAUAUGUUGACAAAAUGAUUACAAUGGCAAAGGAUGGUUCUCUUCAUAAGAGAAGGCAAGCCCUUGGAUUCAUUUACGAGAAGCAGAUAGUGCACCUAUUGUUUGCUGAAGUCCCAGACAGAUAUGGGGAAAUAAGAGAAGGCAAGCCCUUGGAUUUAUCUACGAGAAGCAGAUAGUGCACGCACUGUUUGCUGAAGUCCCAGACAGAUAUGGGGAAAGGAACGGAGGAUACACUAGGAUAAUAAGAACUCUACCGAGGCGAGGGGACAAUGCACCAAUGGCAUACAUCGAGCUUGUCUAGCGACUGAAUAUUCUUUUUGAAGGUUCUUUUCUGUUGGUUCUGAACUCUGAUGUGAAUUAAGAGAUUUUUGUUAGUUCCACCAAUUAUUCAACCCCAAUUUCCUGUAUGCCAUUCCAUCUUAACUUGCAGUUCUACUUGUGUUUAUUUGGUUGAUCAAAAA